GAUGAACGCUGGCGGCGUGCCUAAUACAUGCAAGUCGAGCGAACGGACGAGAAGCUUGCUUCUCUGCUGUUAGCGGCUGACGGGUGAGUAACACGUGGAUAACCUACCUCUAAGACUGGGAUAACUUCGGGAAACCGGUGCUAAUACCGGAUGAUAUUUUGAACCGCAUGGUUCAAGAGUGAAAGACGGUCUUGCUGUCACUUAUAGCUGGAUCCGCGCUGCAUUAGCUAGUUGGUAAGGUAACGGCUUACCAAGGCAACGAUGCAUAUCCGACCUGAGAGGAUGAUCGGCCACACUGGAACUGAGACACGGUCCAGACUCCUACGGGAGGCAGCAGUAGGGAAUCUUCCGCAAUGGGCGAAAGCCUGACGGAGCAACGCCGCGUGAGUGAUGAAGGUCUUCGGAUCGUAAAACCCUGUUAUUAGGGAAGAACAUAAGUGUAAGUAACUGUGCACAUCUUGACGGUACCUAAUCAGAAAGCCACGGCUAACUACGUG
This 497-nucleotide ribosomal RNA is filed under the name uncultured bacterium. RNAcentral's name for it is "partial 16S ribosomal RNA". It matches the Rfam family "Bacterial small subunit ribosomal RNA", at positions 28 to 507 of the family's 1533-position model. The record is from RNAcentral.